GAUGAACGCUGGCGGCGUGCCUAAUACAUGCAAGUCAAGCGAACGGACGAGAAGCUUGCUUCUCUGAUGUUAGCGGCGGACGGGUGAGUAACACGUGGAUAACCUACCUAUAAGACUGGGAUAACUUCGGGAAACCGGAGCUAAUACCGGAUGAUAUUUUGAACCGCAUGGUUCAAAAGUGAAAGACGGUCUUGCUGUCACUUAUAGAUGGAUCCGCGCUGCAUUAGCUAGUUGGUAAGGUAACGGCUUACCAAGGCAACGAUGCAUAGCCGACCUGAGAGGGUGAUCGGCCACACUGGAACUGAGACACGGUCCAGACUCCUACGGGAGGCAGCAGUAGGGAAUCUUCCGCAAUGGGCGAAAGCCUGACGGAGCAACGCCGCGUGAGUGAUGAAGGUCUUCGGAUCGUAAAACUCUGUUAUUAGGGAAGAACAUAUGUGUAAGUAACUGUGCACAUCUUGACGGUACCUAAUCAGAAAGCCACGGCUAACUACGUG
Molecule: ribosomal RNA, 497 nt
Filed under: uncultured bacterium
Lineage: Bacteria
Description: partial 16S ribosomal RNA
Rfam family: Bacterial small subunit ribosomal RNA
Source: RNAcentral